CACCGCCUUGAGCAAAUGUGUGGC
RNAcentral lists this non-coding RNA (24 nucleotides) under Arabidopsis thaliana (thale cress). Lineage: Eukaryota; Viridiplantae; Streptophyta; Magnoliopsida; Brassicales; Brassicaceae. The record is from RNAcentral.